Molecule: long non-coding RNA, 203 nt
Filed under: Homo sapiens (human)
Lineage: Eukaryota; Metazoa; Chordata; Mammalia; Primates; Hominidae
Description: HSALNT0341054
Source: RNAcentral
UCUGUGAGAUGAACGCACACAUCACAAAGAAGUUUGUCUGAAUUAUUCUGUUUAGUUUUUAUGUGAAGAUAUCUCCUUUGCCACCAUAGGCCUCAAAGUGCUCCAAAUGUCCACUUGCAGAUUCUACAAAAAGAGAGUUUCAAAACUGCUCAAUGAAAAGAAAGGUUUAACUCUGUGAGAUGAAUGCACACAUCACAAAGUAG